CUGCAUGACAGAAACAGAUGGCAACUUUCUUGUUUUGAAAUAAGAUAGCGUCAGAAAUUCCUUACACACCUGCUAAGGCUUUGAAAAUUCAUGAAUAGAUGCUAAUAGGCCAAUGGUGAAGUUGGAAAAUACUAUGGAGUUUGCAAGUUAAGAGGUGUGGGAGAAAUGAGACAACCUUUUUGCCAUAAUUCGAAUAUCUGUUGAUGCUAAAGCCAGUGCUAUUGUGAAGCAGAUCUUAACAGCUGCCGCUACACUUCACCAAAAUUAGAGCAGUCUACUUUGAACUUCAUAUACUUUCGAUCUUAUGCAGAGG
This is a long non-coding RNA of Mauremys reevesii (Reeves's turtle), 313 nucleotides long. RefSeq lists it as uncharacterized. The transcript has 3 exons. The record is from RefSeq and is a predicted model, not a curated record. NCBI's taxonomy places the organism in Eukaryota, Metazoa, Chordata, Testudines, Geoemydidae.